GACGAACGCUGGCGGCGUGCCUAAUACAUGCAAGUAGAACGCUGAAGAGAGGAGCUUACUCUUCUUGGAUGAGUUGCGAACGGGUGAGUAACGCGUAGGUAACCUGCCUUGUAGCGGGGGAUAACUAUUGGAAACGAUAGCUAAUACCGCAUAACAAUGGAUGACACAUGUCAUUUAUUUGAAAGGGGCAAUUGCUCCACUACAAGAUGGACCUGCGUUGUAUUAGCUAGUAGGUGAGGUAAUGGCUCACCUAGGCGACGAUACAUAGCCGACCUGAGAGGGUGAUCGGCCACACUGGGACUGAGACACGGCCCAGACUCCUACGGGAGGCAGCAGUAGGGAAUCUUCGGCAAUGGGGGCAACCCUGACCGAGCAACGCCGCGUGAGGGAAGAAGGUUUUCGGAUCGUAAAGCUCUGUUGUAAGUCAAGAACGGGUGUGAGAGUGGAAAGUUCACACUGUGACGGUAGCUUACCAGAAAGGGACGGCUAACUACGUG
This 497-nucleotide ribosomal RNA is filed under the name uncultured bacterium. RNAcentral's name for it is "partial 16S ribosomal RNA". It matches the Rfam family "Bacterial small subunit ribosomal RNA", at positions 28 to 507 of the family's 1533-position model. The record is from RNAcentral.